Molecule: ribosomal RNA, 1252 nt
Filed under: metagenome
Description: bacterial SSU rRNA
Rfam family: Bacterial small subunit ribosomal RNA
Source: RNAcentral
AGCUAGUUGGUGAGGUAAUGGCCCACCAAGGCGACGAUCGGUAGCCGGACUGAGAGGUUGAACGGCCACAUUGGGACUGAGACACGGCCCAGACUCCUACGGGAGGCAGCAGUGGGGAAUAUUGCACAAUGGGGGAAACCCUGAUGCAGCGACGCCGCGUGGAGGAAGAAGGUCUUCGGAUUGUAAACUCCUGUUGUUGAGGAAGAUAAUGACGGUACUCAACAAGGAAGUGACGGCUAACUACGUGCCAGCAGCCGCGGUAAAACGUAGGUCACAAGCGUUGUCCGGAAUUACUGGGUGUAAAGGGAGCGCAGGCGGGCGAUCAAGUUGGAAGUGAAAUCCAUGGGCUCAACCCAUGAACUGCUUUCAAAACUGAUUGUCUUGAGUAGUGCAGAGGUAGGCGGAAUUCCCGGUGUAGCGGUGGAAUGCGUAGAUAUCGGGAGGAACACCAGUGGCGAAGGCGGCCUACUGGGCACCAACUGACGCUGAGGCUCGAAAGUGUGGGUAGCAAACAGGAUUAGAUACCCUGGUAGUCCACACCGUAAACGAUGAUUACUAGGUGUUGGAGGAUUGACCCCUUCAGUGCCGCAGUUAACACAAUAAGUAAUCCACCUGGGGAGUACGACCGCAAGGUUGAAACUCAAAGGAAUUGACGGGGGCCCGCACAAGCAGUGGAGUAUGUGGUUUAAUUCGACGCAACGCGAAGAACCUUACCAAGUCUUGACAUCCUGCGACGAUGCUAGAAAUAGUAUUUUCCUUCGGGACGCAGAGACAGGUGGUGCAUGGUUGUCGUCAGCUCGUGUCGUGAGAUGUUGGGUUAAGUCCCGCAACGAGCGCAACCCUUAUGGUCAGUUACUACGCAAGAGGACUCUGGCCAGACUGCCGUUGACAAAACGGAGGAAGGUGGGGAUGACGUCAAAUCAUCAUGCCCUUUAUGACUUGGGCUACACACGUACUACAAUGGCGUUAAACAAAGAGAAGCAAGACCGCGAGGUGGAGCAAAACUCAGAAACAACGUCCCAGUUCGGACUGCAGGCUGCAACUCGCCUGCACGAAGUCGGAAUUGCUAGUAAUCGUGGAUCAGCAUGCCACGGUGAAUACGUUCCCGGGCCUUGUACACACCGCCCGUCACACCAUGAGAGCCGGGGGGACCCGAAGUCGGUAGUCUAACCGCAAGGAGGACGCCGCCGAAGGUAAAACUGGUGAUUGGGGUGAAGUCGUAACAAGGUAGCCGUAGGAGAACCUGCGGCUG